RNAcentral lists this long non-coding RNA (4615 nucleotides) under Salmo salar (Atlantic salmon). RNAcentral's name for it is "lncRNA (ENSSSAG00000088312.1)". The record is from RNAcentral. Lineage: Eukaryota; Metazoa; Chordata; Actinopteri; Salmoniformes; Salmonidae.
AUACCCUAGACCCACUGCAAUUUGCUUACAGCACCAAUAGGUCCACUGACGAUGAAAUCGCCAUCACACUGCACACUGCCCUAUCCCAUCUGGACAAGAUAAAUAUCUAUGGAAGAAUGCUGUUCAUUGACUGUAGCUCAGCAUUUAACACCAUAGUUCUUUCCAAACUCCUCAUUAAGCUCGAGACCCUGGGUCUCAACCCCGCCCUGUGCAACUGGGUCCUGGACUUUCUGACGGGCCGCCCCCAGGUGGUGAGGGUAGGAAAACAUCUCCACCCUGCUGAUCCUCAACACUGGGUUCCCACAAGGGUGCGUUCUCAGCCCUCUCCUGUACUCCCUGUUCACCCACGACUGUGUGGCCAUGCACGCUUCCAACUCAAUCAUCAAGUUUGCAGACGACACUACAGUGGUAGGUUUGAUUACCAACAAUGACGAGACGGCCUACAGGAAGGAGGUGAGGGCCCUCGGGGUGUGGUGUCAGGAAAAUAACCUCUCACUCAAUGUCAACAAAACAAAGGAGAUGAUCGUGGACUUCAGGAAACAGAGGGAGCACCCCCCCAUCCAUAUUGACAGGACAGUAGUGGGGAAGGUGGAAAGUUUUAAGUUCCUCGGCGUACACAUCACGGACAAACUGAAAUGGUCCACCCACACAGACAACGUGGUGAAGAAGGUGCAACAGCGCCUCUUCAACCUCAGGAGGCUGAAGAAAUUUGGCUUGUCACCGAAAACACUCAAACUUUUACAGAUGCACAAUCGAGAGCAUCAUGUCGGGCUGUAUCACUGCCUGGUAUGGCAACUGCACCGCCCUCAACCGCAAGGCUCUCCAGAGGGUAGUGCGGUCUGCAUAACGCAUCACCGGGGGCAAACUACCUGCCCUCCAGGACACCUACCAGCACCUAAUGUCACAGGAAGGCCAAAAAGAUCAUCAAGGACAACAACCACCCGAGCCAUUAACUGUUCACCCUGCUAUUAUCCAGAAGGCGAGGUCAGUACAGGUGCAUCAAAGCUGGGACCGAGAGACUGAAGAACAGCUUCUAUCUCAAGGCCAUCAGACCGUUAACCUGUUUAGGAUAGGGGGCAGUAUUUUCACGGCUGGAUGAAAAACAUACCCAAUUUAAACUGGUUACUACUCUUGCCCAGAAAUGAGAAUAUACAUAUUAUUAGUAGAUUUGGAUAGAAAACACUGAAGUUUCUAAAACUGUUUGAAUGAUGUCUGUGAGUACAACAUAACUCAUAUGGUAUUUGGAUAUAACUAUGGAUUAUUUCGAACAAAAACAACAUUUCUUGUGGAAGUAGCAGUCCUGGGAGUGCAUUCUGAUGACGAUCAGCAAAGGUAAUACACUAUUUCUAAUACUAAUUCUGAGUUUAGGUGACCCCGAAGUUGGUCGGGUGCCGUGAUGGCGAGCUAUGUACUCAGAAUAUUGAAAAAUGUGCUUUCGCCAAAAAGCUAUUUUAAAAUCUGACACAGCGAUUGCAUAAAGGAGUUCUGUAUCUAUAAUUCUUAAAACAAUUGUUAUGUAUUUUGUCAACGUUUAUGGUGAGUAUUUUUGUAAAUUCACCGGAAGUUUUUGGUGGGAAAUACAUUUUCUGAACAUCAAGCGCCAAUGUAAAAUGCUGUUUUUGGAUAUAAAUAUGAACUUUAUCGAACAAAACAUACAUGUAUUGUGUAACAUAAUGUCCUAGGAGUGUCAUCUGAUGAAGAUCGUCAAAGGUUAGUGCAUAAUUUAACUGUGUUUUUGGUUUCUGUGACAUAUACCCUUGCUUGGAAAAUGGCUGUGUGAUUAUUUGUGUCUAUGUACUCUCCUAACAUAAUCUAAUGUUUUGCUUUCGCUGUAAAGCCUUUUUGAAGUGGGACAAUGUGGUUAGAUUAACGAGAGUCUUAUCUUUAAAAUGGUGUAAAAUAGUUGAUUGUUUGAGAAAAUUGAAUUGUGGUAUUUUAGUUGUUUUUGUAUUUCACGCCAUGCGAUCCCAUUGGCUGUUGGCUAGGGGUCCCGCUGGCGGAACCCCUAGAUGUAAGAAGUUAAACAGCCAUCACUAACAUAGAGAGGCUGCUGCCAACAUACACACUCAAAUCUCUGGCCACUAACUUUUUAGGGUAUAGGGGGCAGUAUUUUCAAUUUUGGAUGAAAAGCGUGCCCAGAGUAAACUGCCUAAUACUCGGGCCCAGAGUCAAAUAUUUGCAUAUUAUUAGUAGAUUUGGAUAGAAAACUCUCUGAAGUUUCUAAAACUGUUUGAAUGAUGUCUGUGAGUAUAACAGAACUCAUAUGGUAGGCAAAAACCUGAGAAAAAUCCAACCAGGAAGUGGGAAAUCUGAGAAUUGUAGUUCUUUUGAAUUCCUAUCGAAACUACAGUGUCUGUGGGGUCCCGUUGCACUUCCUAAGGCUUCCAUUGGCUGUCAACAGCCUUUAGAAAGUUUUUUCAUCCUUCUCCUGUUACUGGGCAGAGAAUAGUAGCUCAGUCAAUGAGUGGACUGCCUGAGGACAAAUGGCUUGGUGAUGCGUGAGCUCGCGAGCACCCCGUUCCUUCUUUUUCUCCUGGAAUGAAUACGCUAUUGUCCGGUUGGAAUAUUAUUGCAUUUUUACGUUAAAAAUCCCCUAAAGAUAGAUUGUCAACAAUGUUUGACAUGUUUCUACAAACGGUAAUGGAACUAUUUUACUUUUCGUCUCUGGUACUGCGCUAGCGCAUUAUGCCUUUGGAUAGUGAUCUGAACGCACAAACAAAACGGAGGUAUUUCAGGUGUUGCUGCUCCAUCCUCAUCCACUGUCGCUUCCUCGACCCGCUCCUGGAAGUCACAAUAACAUAAAUUGGUCAUUAUUUUCCGUAAACAAAUUAUCAAAAUGCCGGUUUAACGUCGACUCCCUAUUACAUUCUUUUUGUACUAGCACAAUCAUUUACCUAUACUGACCGACUGGAUUAAAUUGAAGCAAAACAUUUUUUUUUAAAUUGUGUUAUUUUUAGUCAUACCUUUCUCUUACUCUUGAGCCGAGCUGGUGCAUGUUUGACAUUGUCUGCUAUUUUGUCAUCUACCUCUUGGUAGGUAGCCUUGGGGUGUGCUUUCAGGGACGCUCCUAUGUUGUGAAAAAUAAUUGAAAUGGUACAUUCCAUGUCAUAUCAUUACUUUUCCACCUAUGCUGGCGGAGACAGAGGUUGGGUAUUGUCCCUCUCAUACCUCAUAGGCAGUUUUGGCCAUGAGACCUCUUCCCUUGACCUUUCCUUUGUCCUCUCGCCGAUUUCACAUUUAGUUUGUAACUGCCUUGUUACUGAUUUAAUUCAUUUGAAAUGUUAAUAAAUACACAUUUGACCAAUAAUACUAUCUACUAAAUAAUAAUAAAUAACAAUCUAAACUUGUGCAUUUACUUACUUGUGACAGCAUCAUAGAUUGAUAGCUCAUUAAAGGCCCUCUUCCCCUUCCUGCCCUUCAAGGAGUAGCCUGUCCACAGCUCCUCUGUUCCAAUUUCUCAUCAUUCGUCUGAUUCCUGAGCCCAGGUCCAGGCCACAGCAGAGGGUCAGGUAUCGGAUCUGAUAAAAAAAUAAACAAUAUUUAAAAAAAUCCCACUCAUUUGUGUGUUCCUCAGCUAAAACAGCUGGCCAUAAAGUUCUGAUUGAUAGUGUAUCAUGUAAUCAUGGGCUAAAACUUGUGUAAACAGGCAGAGGGCUGAUCGUUUCUUCUUAAGAUAAGUUAAGUGUUAAUUGGGAAAUCAAUCCAAACACUAAAUAGGCAUAUAGGACAACUGCAUUCUGUUGACAUUAAGAUAUUUAGAUUCAAUAAUAUUGCAGGUUGCAAUCUUCUCAAAUCUGGAUGCAUUGAUGAACAGCUAACUUAUUUUUGUCAAUUGCUGUUAAAACCUGUUAGGGACAGACGUUCCGCUAGCGGCAGUCCUUCUCAAAUAGUGGGGCACGCCCCCCUGGGGGGGCUCGGAGCGAUGCCGGGGGCGCGUGUGACCCUGGGGAACAUGCUUUUUUUUGCCGCGGGGAGUAGUUUUUUUUUUUAACCGAACAAGAGCACACAGCACAGAGCAGGAGAUAUGAAGUGCAGAUAACAAACCCUUAAGAUACACAAUGGAAAAAUAUUUAACAGGGAUGAAAAGAAAGGCGGAGAGAGACAGAGAUAAUGAGACAAACGUAAGUCUCCCGAAAGCUAAGACGAGGAAAUAUGACGAAGCGUAUGUAGCGCUUGGCUUCACUGUGACUAUGGUGGGAGACGAGGAAAGACCGGUAUGUUUACUGUGUCUAAAAAUGUUGGCAGCGGACAGCAUGAAGCCAAAUAAAUUAAGGCGUCACUUAAAGACAUUACACCCCAAUCACGCUGAUAAGCCGCUAGAAGUUUUUUUCAGCGAAAACGUGCCGAAUAUUGUCAACAAUCGUCCCGCUUUUUUCUGAAUGCUACUUCAGUAAACCAGCGAGCACUGUUAGCAUCAUAUAAGGUGGCGUACCAAAUUGCUCAGUGCAAAAAAACCCACUCCAUAGCAGAGGAGCUGAUACUGCCUGCAGCAUUAGACAUGGUCUCCGUCAUGCUGGAUGACGCAAGUGCUGCAAAAAUAAAAACUAUCCCUCUGUCCAAUGACACUGUCGCCAGACGUAUAAAUGACAUUGCUAACGAUCUUAAAUAACAGCUG